Molecule: non-coding RNA, 121 nt
Organism: Pteropus vampyrus (large flying fox)
Lineage: Eukaryota; Metazoa; Chordata; Mammalia; Chiroptera; Pteropodidae
Source: Rfam
CAGCCGCGGCCUCAAGGGCCAGCGCGUACUCUCCAGCUUCGUUCUGGGAGUCACCCCGGGGCUGCCGACAACUGAAUAAACACACCAAAGCGCUGCGAUCUGUCAAGGGCUGGGGUCGCCU